UACGUAGGGCGCAAGCGUUGUCCGGAAUUAUUGGGCGUAAAGAGCUCGUAGGCGGUUUGUCGCGUCUGCUGUGAAAUCCUCAGGCUCAACUUGGGGCGUGCAGUGGGUACGGGCAGACUAGAGUGCGGUAGGGGGAGACUGGAAUUCCUGGUGUAGCGGUGGAAUGCGCAGAUAUCAGGAAGAACACCCGUGGCUAAGGCGGCUCUCUAGUAACGGGUACUGACGCUGAGACGCGAAAAGCGUGGGGGAGCG
This 252-nucleotide ribosomal RNA is filed under the name uncultured bacterium. RNAcentral describes it as "partial 16S ribosomal RNA". It matches the Rfam family "Bacterial small subunit ribosomal RNA", at positions 524 to 770 of the family's 1533-position model. The record is from RNAcentral.